RNAcentral lists this ribosomal RNA (465 nucleotides) under Vreelandella stevensii. Its description in RNAcentral is "partial 16S ribosomal RNA". It matches the Rfam family "Bacterial small subunit ribosomal RNA", at positions 338 to 795 of the family's 1533-position model. Lineage: Bacteria; Pseudomonadati; Pseudomonadota; Gammaproteobacteria; Oceanospirillales; Halomonadaceae. The record is from RNAcentral.
CCUACGGGUGGCUGCAGUGGGGAAUAUUGGACAAUGGGGGCAACCCUGAUCCAGCCAUGCCGCGUGUGUGAAGAAGGCCCUCGGGUUGUAAAGCACUUUCAGUGAGGAAGAACGCCUGGUGGUUAAUACCCAUCAGGAAAGACAUCACUCACAGAAGAAGCACCGGCUAACUCCGUGCCAGCAGCCGCGGUAAUACGGAGGGUGCGAGCGUUAAUCGGAAUUACUGGGCGUAAAGCGCGCGUAGGUGGCUUGAUAAGCCGGUUGUGAAAGCCCCGGGCUCAACCUGGGAACGGCAUCCGGAACUGUCAAGCUAGAGUGCAGGAGAGGAAGGUAGAAUUCCCGGUGGAGCGGUGAAAUGCGUAGAGAUCGGGAGGAAUACCAGUGGCGAAGGCGGCCUUCUGGACUGACACUGACACUGAGGUGCGAAAGCGUGGGUAGCAAACAGGAUUAGAUACCGGUGUAGUC